This is a long non-coding RNA of Mustela lutreola (European mink), 776 nucleotides long. RefSeq lists it as uncharacterized. NCBI's taxonomy places the organism in Eukaryota, Metazoa, Chordata, Mammalia, Carnivora, Mustelidae. The record is from RefSeq and is a predicted model, not a curated record. The transcript is spliced from 3 exons.
GUCCCGCCCGCAGGUGAGGCCGCCGGAGUGCGCACUCUUCGGUACCUGGCUGCCGCUGGACCUUGAGCCCUGGGAGAAGCGAGGCACACGUUCUAUGACCAUGGGACGUCUCAAAAUAGGACUUAAGAGCCACAGUGACUUUGCUUCUUGAAAAGUAACUGGGCGGGGGGAGGGGUACGUGGAGAAAAAGAGGAAUGUGUGCGGGCGGGAGGAGACCAAAAUCACAAAGAGGUCCUCGGAGGGAGACUGAAGAAGAUUGCUGGAGUGUGAUUUCAGAAGAGAAGCAUGGUCUACUUAUUGAUGCCAUCAGAUAUAAAAUUAAAAGAAAGAAAGGUUCUACAAGUGAACCAAACAGAAGAUGUAUAUGUUGAGGCAGCUAUGGAACUCUUAUUUCUUAACUCAAGCAAAAGACCUGUGAGCCAUCCCCUGAUGGAAACCAGCAGGACCACCCCGCAAGCAAUCAUGACUACUCUGAGGAAGAGCUCUGGAGGCCCCGAUCACCCGGGGCAGUUUGUGCUCAACCCCCAACUCACACGUGCUCUGCAGGUCCCUGGAGUGACUCAUGGAGUGCCCAGCACUUACCUUUAUCUCAUUAUAAUCCUAAAAUCUCUACCCAGGAGGAGCACAAGCCUCAUUUACAUAAUAUACAAUUCAGGUACAGGCAUGUUUCCUUAAGAUGCUUGCACCACUGAUGUCUGCCUCUGUAUGUGAUGACCAGGCUUCCUGUUCUAAAUAUCCAUCCUACUCCUAAAUAAAAGGAACCCAUUCACAGGGAA